AUACAGAGGUGGCAAGCGUUGUUCGGAUUCAUUGGGUGUAAAGCGCUCGUAGGCGGCCUGUUAAGUCGGAUGUGAAAGCCCCGGGCUCAACCUGGGAACUGCAUUCGAAACUGGCAGGCUAGAGUAUAGUAGAGGCAAGUGGAAUUCCGGGUGUAGCGGUGAAAUGCGUAGAUAUCCGGAGGAACAUCAGUGGCGAAGGCGGCUUUCUGGACCAAUACUGACGCUGAGGUGCGAAAGCGUGGGAAGCAAACAGGAGUAGAAACCCCAGUAGUCC
Molecule: ribosomal RNA, 274 nt
Filed under: uncultured bacterium
Lineage: Bacteria
Description: partial 16S ribosomal RNA
Rfam family: Bacterial small subunit ribosomal RNA
Source: RNAcentral